ACCGCCCCCCUUUGGUUUUCACACCCCAUAUUCCAUGACAAAAAUAUUUUGGCAUGAGAAAUAAUUUGCAUGAGAGUUCUAAGUGUAGAUAUGAGAGAGGGAGGUUGUUAUGGCAGGUAGUUGGUUGAUGGCUCAUUCACCUUAUCUCUUGAUCUCUUUUCUAGUUUAAAUUUAAUUCAAAUCAAAGAUAGAGAUAAGAAGAAAAACUAAUCUAAUUUUUAUGAAAUCUUUUAGUGAUGCCUAACAACCUCUCCCUUUGUGCAUUGAGAAAGGAAUAGCGUGAGAAAUCAUAUCUGAUUUCUCACGCCAUUUCUUAUUUCUUGGCAAUAAUUUUUUAGACGCCAAAAUUGUUUGGCGUGUGAUAGGGGGCACCCCCUCUUCCAAGAAACCCUAGUCCUCCCUCUCAUAAAUACGGACUAAUUUUUAGACCCUAAAGAGAAUGAACAAAGUCAAAAAAAUUAAGAGAAAAAUAUUCUGAAAAAUUUGAGUCCUCUUCCUCCUUCUCUUCCUCCUCAUUCUCCCUAGUUCUCAAGAGAGUCUAUGAGAUCUGUGAGAGAAUAAUCUCAGCCAUCAAAGAGAAGUCUUUUGCAAGGGAGCUAGCACCCUAAUGAAGACACUUACCUCUUGUUGAAAUGAGUUCUCAUGUAGGAACCUGUGGAGGCCGGAUGCGUGGGCGGCUAAAAGAAUCCGUUUAGAUCCAUGAUCAUUGGCUGCAGUGUAGAUCGACUCGUAUAAAGGUAUUGAGAUUCGAUCUCAAUAUUUUCUCUUUUAUUUUUCAAAUUAUGUGCAUAUCAUAAAUUCAGGGGCUUGGAUAGUAUAAAUUAGAUCUAUUGCAUGUGGGGUUAAAGGGGUUUAACUUAGAUCAGUUUUUCACUGUGAUAAAAAAUCAUUUUGAAAUUCAUACAUGCAACCUACCCGAUUUCUAACAGUGGUAUCAAAGUCACUAAUUUUUUUUGACAUGUAUAAUCUUAUUUCUGAUUUAGAUCUAAAAAUAUGAGUGGUUUAAAAUUGAUCUUGUGCUGAUAUAAGGUUGUCCUAAUAUAAGGUUAACCCCUAUAUUAAAAAGGUUGUGCUAGCACAAGAUUA
Molecule: long non-coding RNA, 1086 nt
Filed under: Elaeis guineensis (African oil palm)
Lineage: Eukaryota; Viridiplantae; Streptophyta; Magnoliopsida; Arecales; Arecaceae
Description: long non-coding RNA (EGUI_LNC021431)
Source: RNAcentral